AUGCAAGCAAAGGGUGAUAAGGGGGUCCCCAGGAUUGGGUGUGUGUCUGUGAGUGUGUGCGUGUGCGUGUGUGUGUGUGUGUGGGGGGCAGCAGGAGUCCAAGCCAAGCCAAAAGGUUUCUCACGUGCAAACUCGCAAUCUAAUCCUUUGGGAGUUGCGCCUAGGCUACGAGGGGCAAGUCUAUUUAAAAAAAAAAAAAUCAGGAGCAUCUCUUGGAGAAGCCCUUUCCAACAAAAUCAAAGCAGGACCCGAGAACCACAGACCGUCCCUAACAUCCCCGCUGCGAGGCCCGCGGGCUGUGGAAUCUCGCACGUCACCUGGACCCAGCAGGGAGGGCCGCUGAGAGAGGAAAAUACAUCAAAAUUUAAUAAGGGGCUUUCCCUGAAGAAGGAAACAAAUACGGAGAAAAUGGGGCAGACAAAUAAAGAUACGGUUUGCUUACAAUGUGUGAACUAAAGAAGACUAUCUGGAUAAAGACUGGACAGCUUCACCUGGAGUUUCUGGGGCCCCAUCUGAGGACAAUCUUCCUGGUUGGAGGAAGACCAUUCUUAAGGCAAGAGUUUAUGGUUUGCUGCACUGCUCUCCUAGGACCUGCACCACAGCUGGUAUUUCACCAGAGCCAUUGAAUGGAACCAUCAUCUACAAUUUGGAGACAGUAAACAACGUGGAAAGGACCCAGGGAAAACAGAAAUGGCAGCAGGGUAGAAACUUAAGGGACUUUGUGCAUGGGUUCAAGGAAAUUAUUACAAUAAUUUCAUUGAUUAUUAUCAAC
This 772-nucleotide long non-coding RNA is filed under the name Dasypus novemcinctus (nine-banded armadillo). RNAcentral describes it as "lncRNA (ENSDNOG00000051410.1)". The record is from RNAcentral. Lineage: Eukaryota; Metazoa; Chordata; Mammalia; Cingulata; Dasypodidae.